UCUGGCUGCGACAUCUGUCACCCCAUUGAUCACCAAGGUUGAUUCGGCUAUCUGGCUGGCUAGGCGGGUGUCCCCUUCCUCCCUCACCGCUCCAUGUGUGUCCCUCCUGAAGCUGCGUGCUCGCUCGAAGAGGACGUCCUUCCCCGAAUAGAGGAGGACCGGUCUUCGGUCAAGGGUAUAUGAGUAGCUGCGCUCCCCUGCUA
This 203-nucleotide small nuclear RNA is filed under the name Cricetulus griseus (Chinese hamster). RNAcentral's name for it is "7SK RNA". It matches the Rfam family "7SK RNA", at positions 15 to 217 of the family's 331-position model. Rfam says of the family: 7SK was discovered as an abundant small nuclear RNA in the mid-70s but a possible function has only recently been suggested. Two independent studies have found that 7SK RNA binds the CDK9/cyclin T complex (known as elongation factor P-TEFb). The record is from Rfam by way of RNAcentral. Lineage: Eukaryota; Metazoa; Chordata; Mammalia; Rodentia; Cricetidae.